Molecule: ribosomal RNA, 253 nt
Filed under: uncultured bacterium
Lineage: Bacteria
Description: partial 16S ribosomal RNA
Rfam family: Bacterial small subunit ribosomal RNA
Source: RNAcentral
UACGUAGGCAGCGAGCGUUGUUCGGAAUUACUGGGCGUAAAGAGUGUGUAGGCGGUGCUCUAAGUUCGGUGUGAAAUCUCCUGGCUUAACUGGGAGGGUGCGCCGGAAACUGGGGUGCUCGAGCGUGGGAGAGGAAAGCGGAAUUCCUGGUGUAGCGGUGAAAUGCGUAGAUAUCGGGAGGAACACCGGUGGCGAAGGCGGUUCUCUGGGCAUUACCUGACGCUGAGGGGCGAAAGUGUGGGGAGCGAACAGG